GUUCUGAGAAAGAAAAAAAGCUGAAUUCUUACUGAAAUUGUGUGGUCAGGCUCUCACUUUAAUAUUAGUCAUUUAAGGGCAUUGCACUAUCCUUGCUAUUAAGGUGUAGCAUUGGAUAGGUGAUGAUUCAUUUAGAAACCUACUGUGAAUCAGUAUGUACACUUCCUCCUUGGAUCUAUUUUAUACAAACAUAUUGAAGACUUGUAAAGUCUAAUAGAAGCAGAUGGUAUAGUUGCAGGCUUAUGGAAGAUUUUUUUUUUGGUUGGUUGUUGGUUAGUUUUGUUUUUUCCCCAAAAUCAUAGAAUGGUUUGGGUUGGAAAGGACCUCAAGAUCAACCAGUUCCAGCCCCCUGCCAUGGGCAGGGACACCUCACGCUAGACCACGUCACCCAGUGCUCUGUCCAGUCUGGCCUAGAGCACUGCCAGGGAUGGAGCAUUUAUCACUUCUUUGGGCAACCUGAAUAAAUGGUUGAGUGAAUGAUGUAGCAAUUUAACACAGCCACUCCUUAAGCGAUCAGUAUACUCUCAUUUACUUUUUCACUUACUCCUUAAUUUAUUAAAAUCUUAUAUGCCUAUUACACAGUUUUCAUGAUUUUCAUAUUUAUAGGCAGGGUUUAUGAAUUGUAUACAAGCUUUUUCAUUGUUCCACUGUUUCAAAGCUGAAGUACUACCUUGGCUUCAUCUGUAAGUUCUCAUGUAAACUGAAACUGUAAACAAAUAUAAUGUAAAACAUACAGCAUACCAGUAAAGUUAGAUGUGAUUGGGAAGAGACGGUGCUAUAUGUUUCAAUUUAGAGAGCGUUGCUUAUAAAUCUCUGUUUUGGACAUGUCAGUUGUGAUAUGCCUUCAUAAUAGGUUUGAUCUAUUUAAUUUUAUAGAUUCUCCUAGUUAUAUAGAACAAAACAUUUUAAUAAUGCCUCUUAAAAUACGAACUUUUAUGCUGUAUAUUUCAAAAUCAGAGUUGGUAGGGUCAGGGUGAGUGCAUUCCAUGUGUGUAUAUAAAUGGUGUCACUAGUUUUUCUUGUUAUGUGUUGGUGUUACUUUCAUUAUUACUAAAAGGCUGUCACUAAGGGAAGAGGCUGUUGUAAAGGGUUUUUCUUUUCCAUUGGAACAAUGGUAAAAGGAUUAUCUAACAUCCAGAUUUCAGAUUUCCAUUUGGCUUACAAAUGAGAAUAAAGAAUGUAUAGAGCACCUGUAAAAUCAGUUCCCUGUCAUACAUGUCCUACCCAUACAUGUUUUCAUACCCAAGAUGAAAUCAGUAAACUUAAUUGGAAGACAAGCAUGAGUCUGAGGAUGUUCCGUGUAAAACCCCUUGAGGCAUACACUCUUAGCUGCAUGUAGAAAAUGCACUUGCAUUGAUGUAAAUAGCCUUAGCUAAUAAAUACUGAUCUGGGAAAGAUGUAAUUGUGGGGUAGAAGCUUGUAGUUUUAGAGCUCAACAAAGAUUUUUGUAGGAAGGUUUUCAGGAGAGAUUUAAAGGCAGAUUAAUAUCGAAUGCACACAGUUACAGUUUGCUGUUUUAACUGCAACUGCCUCUCAUGAUGAGAAUGGUUAAGCCCUGAAAUAGGAAUUCCAGAGACAUCCAAUUUAUACUGCAAUGUAGUCAGUACUGUAUUUUGCUACUUCUCUGUAAUAUACAAAUUUGGAAGAUUAUGCUAAUGAUGUAAGUAUUAAAGGUAGCAUUAGCAAAACCAAUAGAUAAAUCACAAGUAUCUUUGCAGGUGAACAGAAACAGGUCUUUGACUACCGAUGGAGAUGGGAUUUCUACCUGCAUUUCAGAAAAUGAAGCAUCAUCAGUUCUGGUUUUCAGAACUUAAGAUACAGAAAGAACUUGCUGAUUGUGGUGUUACAGUCAUUCUUAAGCUUCUGCAACAGCUGAAACAGAGUUGGGGUGUGGGAGCAGCUAGUCAGCAUGCAAGUACUGCACACCAAAUUCAAAUUAUAAAGAGCAGCUGAAGUAAGCAGCACAAAUCCUCCACAUCUGUUUUUCUGAACAGCUAUCUAAAAUUCAGUUACCUUAAGUUGUUUAGGCUUGGGCUCAGACAGAAAACAAGCAGUGAAUGCCAGCCUUUGAAAACGUGUAUCCUGGGUGGGACUGCCUAAGGGACAAAUAUUUUGUGCAAUGGACCUUACCCCGUAGAUUCUUGAUUUUUUUUUUUUUUUCAUUCAAUAAUGCAACUGGAUAGGGAUUCUUGAGAAAGAAUUAGGCAAGAAAAGUUU
Molecule: long non-coding RNA, 2217 nt
Organism: Pezoporus occidentalis (night parrot)
Lineage: Eukaryota; Metazoa; Chordata; Aves; Psittaciformes; Psittacidae
Exons: 2
Source: RefSeq, a predicted model, not a curated record